This 291-nucleotide ribosomal RNA is filed under the name Escherichia coli. RNAcentral's name for it is "partial 16S ribosomal RNA". It matches the Rfam family "Bacterial small subunit ribosomal RNA", at positions 1 to 288 of the family's 1533-position model. Lineage: Bacteria; Pseudomonadati; Pseudomonadota; Gammaproteobacteria; Enterobacterales; Enterobacteriaceae. The record is from RNAcentral.
AAAUUGAAGAGUUUGAUCAUGGCUCAGAUUGAACGCUGGCGGCAGGCCUAACACAUGCAAGUCGAACGGUAACAGAAAGCAGCUUGCUGCUUUGCUGACGAGUGGCGGACGGGUGAGUAAUGUCUGGGAAACUGCCCGAUGGAGGGGGAUAACUACUGGAAACGGUAGCUAAUACCGCAUAACGUCGCAAGACCAAAGAGGGGGACCUUCGGGCCUCUUGCCAUCGGAUGUGCCCAGAUGGGAUUAGCUAGUAGGUGGGGUAAAGGCUCACCUAGGCGACGAUCCCUAGCU